Cydia pomonella (codling moth) is the source of this 1246-nucleotide long non-coding RNA. RefSeq lists it as uncharacterized. The transcript has 2 exons. NCBI's taxonomy places the organism in Eukaryota, Metazoa, Arthropoda, Insecta, Lepidoptera, Tortricidae. The record is from RefSeq and is a predicted model, not a curated record.
GUCACAGCCAUCUGGUUAAGUGCGCAUUAACUUUUUAUUUUUGUCAAAGUGACUUACGCCAUAACUCAUUGGAUAUGGUCGCUUUCUGCAUUGAUAAAAAAAUGGAGUUGCUGCAAAACUAUUACCUAUAUUGAAUAAAAAUCCAGUUCAUUUUAUUGUAAACGCGAUAAAAAAUUAUAUAACGGUACUGUAAGACAGUCAAGCAUCAUCAUUUUAUCGACAUCAACAUAGUAUUAAAACUGGUCGUCGAACUCCGAAUUAGAAGCCUGUCCGAAAGCAAUCUUGUGACACAAGCGAUCUGACGACGCAAAACCGAUGGACCAUUGUCAGGACACAAUGGGUCGUUCAGUGGACCGGUCUUUGUUGAGUCGGCUAAAUGAUUGACUGCGAUUUGUAGAAGUUUUACUCUAUUGAAAAGGAUAUUAGUCAUGAGGUUUAAAUGAGUGUGAAAUAUGAAACGUAGGUGAGCGUACUCCGAUCUUAAAAAGGUGUUGCUGGUGUCGAUGGCUGACGUUAAUCGCUUACCAUCAGGCGAUUCGUCUACUCGUUUGCCUCAUAUGUCAUAAAAGAACAGUCUGUUUAUAGAUUGCAGUAGAUUUGUAUUAGUCUGACAAUAUUUUCAUUAAAAUCCAAUAACAUCUCUAGUAAAUAAAUCUGAUAGAUAAACGGGGACUACUGUGACUAGGAUUUGCAAUCCGGGUCCAAAAUGUAUGAAAUUAUCCGGAUCUGGAUCCGGAUACCCGGAACUUUCCAUAUAUUUCAGAUCCAUCUUGCAAACCCUAACUGUGACUCUUCAAAAUUAUCAAGUGCUCAAAUGCACAAUUGCUACGGAUUACCAGUUUAAUUUCAUGUUGGGAUUAUGCCUGCUUAGUAACUUCGCAGUAUUACAAAACAUAAAUAUUUAGGUUCGAUAGUUGGUCAGUUAGGUACAAAAAAUAGAGUCCUACAUGCAUAGGUACGUCUGCUUUAUGUGUCACUCUACAUAAAUAUGGAACUAAUUUAAAUGACGAUAAAUGCAUCUUGUUAUGGAGAGCAUUUUUUUUAUUUACAUGUGGUUAGCUUAUAUUUAUUUUCCUUUCUUUACAUAUUUUAUAUUUCUUGCUCAUAAGACAAACGUACCGUUUAAAAGGUAGGUUUAAAGCCAUGAACUGUCUCUGUCAGCCAGGGUUUAUUGUUUUGUUAAUUUAUUGUAAAUUAAAUUGAGUAAGAAUUUUAUUUCAAUAUAUGCUGAACCAUUUUUGUUUCA